CCCUACGGGGYGCACCAGGCGCGCAAACUUUACAAUGCGAGCAAUCGUGAUAAGGAAACCCUGAGUGCCUGUCGAUGCAGGCUGUUCAUAUAUCUAAAUCAUAUGUGAAGAAAGGGCAGGGCAAGWCCGGUGC
RNAcentral lists this ribosomal RNA (133 nucleotides) under uncultured archaeon. RNAcentral describes it as "partial 16S ribosomal RNA". It matches the Rfam family "Archaeal small subunit ribosomal RNA", at positions 321 to 458 of the family's 1478-position model. The record is from RNAcentral.